RNAcentral lists this ribosomal RNA (376 nucleotides) under uncultured organism. RNAcentral describes it as "partial 16S ribosomal RNA". It matches the Rfam family "Bacterial small subunit ribosomal RNA", at positions 527 to 895 of the family's 1533-position model. The record is from RNAcentral.
GUAGGGGCCAAGCGUUAUCCGGAUUUAUUGGGGCGUAAAGAGCUCGUAGGCGGCUUGGCAAGUCGGUCGUGAAAGUCCGAGGCUCAACCUCGGGAAUGCCGGGUCGAAACUGCCAUGGCUAGGGUUCGGUAGAGGAGAGUGGAAUUCUCGGUGUAGCGGUGAAAUGCGCAGAUAUCGAGAGGAACACCAGCAGCGAAGGCGGCUCUCUGGGCCGAUACCGACGCUGAGGAGCGAAAGCGUGGGGAGCAAACAGGAUUAGAUACCCUGGUAGUCCACGCCGUAAACGGUGAUCACUAGGUGUGGCGGACUCAUUGACGUCUGCUGUGCCGGCGCUAACGCAUUAAGUGAUCCGCCUGGGGAGUACGGCCGCAAGGCU